GGUGAUUCUUGGGUGACACACCUCAGAAUUGGGCUCCCUCCUCUCUGGUUCUGGGUGUGUUACCUGAGAACCACA
This is a non-coding RNA of Myotis lucifugus (little brown bat), 75 nucleotides long. The record is from Rfam. Lineage: Eukaryota; Metazoa; Chordata; Mammalia; Chiroptera; Vespertilionidae.